CUUAAUCUCUCUGUGUCUCAGGUUCCUCAUCCAUAAAUUGGGGGGUUUGUUUGUUUGUUUGUUUGUUUUCUGGAGACGGAGUCUCACUCCAUUGCCAGGUUGGAGUGCAGUGGCGUCAUCUCGGCUAACUGCAACCUCUGCCUCCCGGGUUCAAGCGAAUUCUCCUGCUUCAGCCUCCCAAGUAGCAGGGAUUAUAGCCACCCGCCACCAUGCCCAGCUAAUUUUUGUAUUUUUGGUAGAGACAGGGUUUCACCAUGUUGGUCAGGCUGAUCUUGAAUUCCUGACUUCAGGUGACCCAUCCAUCUCUGCCUCCCAAAGUGCCAGGAUGACAGAUGUGAGCUACCACACCCAGCCCAUAAACUGAGGUUUUUAAUAGUACCUCAUGAAGUAGUUGGGAGGAUCAAGAAUGUUAAGUCACCUAAGGUACCUAGUACAGUUUCUAGUAGACAUUAAGCAGCCAAUACAUUUUACCAUUAUUAUACUAUUCAACAUGACUAAAAUGUCAUGCAACUUCAGGGUAUUUCUGUUCCUUUUAUAUUUAUUGUCGUUAUUAUUCUAUGAAAAAAGAUGAUUCCCAAUCUGAUAUGAAUAAAGUAUUUGUGUAAUUCAUUAUGCAAAAUGUAAGAUGGAUAAUUUUUUUACACCAAGCUAUAUUAACCAAACCUCAUUCUUAAACUUUUGGAGUCAUUUUUCUCCUAAUGAGAUAGAGGAUACUAAUAGGCACAAGGCCCACUAUGCUUCUUUAACCUUUUCAAUAUUUACUCUCCUACACAUGCUGCAUGUAUUCAGGCCAUCUGGACUAUUACUGGUCCCAGGAUAUACUCUGCUUUCUAAUAUCACCACAUUGUUCUCUAUAUUCUUUUUAAAGGGUUCUUGGUUAUGUACUGGCAGAAAGUUCACUGGCAUCUGUGGGAAUGUAUAUGGUCUUCUGCAUUUAGAAUUAGAUCCUAAAACCUGUGUGCCAAUUUACAAAUUCCUUUCCUCUCACUUAAUUGUCACCUCCACCCCAAUCUCCAAAUGCCCUUAGAGUCCUUAAGAGAAGAAACAGGAGAUAUCCCAAAAAGGAGGAGGUCCUCUCAAUGUCUAGAUCACUGUGUUGCCUGCUUAGCUUCCCUCUGGUAGAACUUGAGAGGACACAUGGUCUAUGAGCCAUCUUUGUGCCACAAUUGCUGCCCCACUUUCCCUAGGAGCUGGAUGUAUUUCACCAGUUUUUACGUUAAGUAAUACGACAUUUGGAGGGUUGGGCUGUUGGAGGAUUUUUUCAUGACCUACCCAUCAGAAGUGGUGUGUGACUUCUGAGGCUAGGUCUUAAACUGAGGUCUCUUGCCAACAACCAGCACCAUGUGAAAUGCUCUCCAGUCACUGUCAAACUUUCAGCCUGGCCAAAAUGUUAACUGCAACCUCAUGAGGGACUUCAAGCCAGAACCACUCAACUAAGCUGCUCCUGAAUUCAUGACCUACAGAAAGUACAUUCAUGAGAGAAAUGGGUCUGCAGUUUUUCUUUUUUUGUAAUUUGGCAUUAGGGAAAUGCUGGCCUUAUAAAGUAGUGAGUUAGAAAGUGUGCCCUCUGCUUCUGUUUUCUGUAACAGUCGGUAAAGAACUGGUAUCUUUUGUUCCUUAAAUCUUUGGUAGACUUCACCGAUGAAACUGUCUAGGCCUGGUAAUUUCUGUUUGGAAGGUUAUUAAUUACUAAAUCAAUUUUUAAAAUAGAAAGCCCUAUUUAGAUUAUCUGUUUUUUCUUGUGUGAGUUUCAGUAGACUAUGUCUGUGCAGUAAUGGACAAUGGCCAGGUCAAGGGCAGAACAGGAUACAACCAGCAGAAAAGCCCUGAGGCAGGAAAUAGCUUGGCAUGUUAAAGUAAGGGAAAGGUGGCUCCUUUGUCUGGAACCUAGAGAGCCAUAGAGGGAGUGAGACAAGGAGGUGGGAGCAUCAGGCAGAAAGAGACCAGACCGAUGAGCUUUGCCUUGUCAGAAUUUAGGAUUCUAUCUUAGGGCAAUGGGAAACCCUGACAGCUUAUACAAAUCUCCUUAAAUCUGAGAUGUAGCCACAUUCUGAAGUCCUCUCGAUCUUUAAGAUCUGCACUCUGCAAAGCCAAAAAACCUGUCUGGGAAAAUUCAGCAAUGACUAAUACGAGAGUAGAUCAACAGGCAAACAUUGAGUAUAAUUAUUAUUUUUUGGCGGGGCACAGGUAUUAAAGCAGUGGUUCUCAACAUUGGCUGCAAAGUGGAAUCACCUGGGGAGUUUUGAAAAUUACUACUUCCUUGAAACCCCAAUUUUAGAGCCUUGAUCGAACUGGUCUGAGAUAAGGUAGGAGGAUUUCUAAAUGCUUCUCAGUGAUUCAAAUGUGCAGCCAAAGUUGAGAACCAUUAGUAGGGAAGCUAGAAUGCUCACAGUUUUAAUAAUUUGUAUUCUGCCAUGUAUGCAUUCAUUUUCAGAAGGAAGUUUUAAAAAUAGCCAGUAUGUUUGCCCUGAACUGUACUUAGUGCUUCAAAAAGGUAGACUUUUUAAAUUGUCAUGACAACCUCUCAAGAAUUUUCUUACAUACAAUUGUUUUAAUCUUAUUUUCCCCCAUUGGAUGGAUAAAGAAAUUAAGAUAUAGAAUUUGAAUAAUUUGCCCAAGGCUUCAUCACUAAUAAACAGAAGAGCUGGCAUUUGAACUCAGGAAGUAUGGCUCCUAAGUUCUCAUUUGCAUCUACUGUUCCCAAACCUCUAUUUUAUGGAGUCAAAAUGAAGAUGACAACCUGCCUGCAUUCUACAUUGCCAGCACAAAAAAAGAGAACUGCUUCUUGUAAUUCAGGUCCUCCAAAAACCAGACCAAAGCCCAACAGGAAAAAGUCAUAAAAUAAUAAUCUCUGCCAAAAGAGAAGAAAAUUUAUAUUUAUAUAUAUUUUUAACCACAUAAUGAGAUUCAAGUAUUACAAAUUAAUCCCCAAUUAAAUAUAUUGGUAGGUAAUUUGAAAAAGAAGUAGGUCACUGUAGUGGCCUAGAAAGUAAAAUAGAAGAACUCUCUCAAGGCAUAGAGUAAAAAAAAAAAAGUGAAAUGGAAAUUAGGAGAGAAAAGAUAAGCAACUGGAAGAGAAAGUCGAAAGGUCCAAUAUAUAAAAUAUAGGCAUUCUAGAUACACAAAAGAAACAUUGGAGGAGGGCUAAAGACCCAGUUUUAUGAAUUAAAAAAGCUUCCAGAAAUCCAAGGUAGACUAAAUUGAGGAAAAAUGUUAUAUACACAAUCAGGUAAAAUUCCUGAACUUUAAAGAGCAAAUAUUAUUUGCUACCAGUUAGAAAGAAAAGGUUGUCAAAAAUGAAAAAGAAUCAGACUUGCAUUGUACUUCUUAUUUGUAAUGCUGGAAACUUGAAACAGUGGAAUAUCAUCUUUAGAGAAAAGGCAAGACUCUCUACCUAGCCAUGAUAUGUGAAGUAUAUACUAAGCCCCCUGACUGACUGAAUGGACCUCUGUUGGCCAAGGAGACCCCAGAAAAACUAAAAAUUCAAUUUCUAGACCAUAAUGAGACAGGAAUUCAGUCACACCUCAGUAUACCCUUUUGUUCAUUAACGUACCAGAUCUUUCUUAAGAGUUAAACAGAAAGCAGCCCUGGAAAACAAAGAAUGGAAAACCCUUCCACUGACUUCAGCUUCAACCACAACCUGACACUAUGGCCAGACUCCCCUCCCUUUUUCAGUUUAAACAUGUCAGGUUACCAGUUUCACAAAGUUUUCCUUCUUUUUUUUAAUUGCAUUUUAGGUUUUGGGGUACAUGUGCAGAACAUGCAAGAUAGUUGCAUAGGUACACACAUGGCAGUGUGAUUUGCUGCCUUCCUCCCCUUCACCCACAUCUGGCAUUUCUCCCCAUGCUAUCCCUCCCCAGCUCCCCCUUGCUGUCCCUCCCCUAUUCCCCCCAACAGACCCUAGUGUGUAGUGCUCCCCUCUCUGUAUCCAUGUGUUCUCAUUUUUCAUCACCCGCCUAUGAGUGAGAACAUGUGGUAUUUCAUUUUCUGUUCUUGUGUCAGUUUGCUGAGAAUGAUGUUCUCCAGAUUCAUCCAUGUCCCUAUAAAGGACAUAAACUCAUCAUUUUUGAUUGCUGCAUAAUAUUCCAUGGUGUAUAUGUGCCGCAUUUUCCCAGUCAAGUCUAUCAUGGAUGGGCAUUUGGGUUGGUUCCAGGUCUUUGCUAUUGUAAACAGUGCUGCAAUGAACAUUCGUGUGCAUGUGUCCUUAUAGCAGAACGAUUUAUAGUCCUUUGGAUAUAUACCCAGUAAUGGGAUUGCUGGGUCAAAUGGAAUUUCUAGUGGUUCUAGGUCCUUGAGGAAUCGCCACACUGUCUUCCACAAUGGUUGAACUAAAUUACAAUCCCACCAGCAGUGUAAAAGUGUUCCUAUUUCUCCACAUCCUCUCCAGCAUCUGUUGUCUCCAGAUUUUUUAAUGAUCACCAUUCUAACUGGCGUGAGAUGGUAUCCCCAUGUGGUUUUGAUUUGCAUUUCUCUAAUGACCAGUGAUGAUGAGCAUUUUUUUCAUAUGUUUGUUGGCCUCAUGUAUGUCUUCUUUUGUAAAGUGUCUGUUCAUAUCCUUUGCCCAUUUUUGAAUGGGCUUGUUUGUUUUUUUCUUGUAAAUCUGUUUGAGUUCUUUGUAAAUUCUGGAUAUCAGCCCUUUGUCAGAUGAAUAAACUGCAAAAAUUUUUUCCCAUUGUGUUGGUUGCCGAUUCACUCUAAUGACUGUUUCUUUUCCCGUGCAGAAGCUGUGGAGUUUGAUUAGGUCCCAUUUGUCUAUUUUGUCUUUUGUUGCCAAUGCUUUUGGUGUUUUGGUCAUGAAGUCCUUGCCUACUCCUAUGUCCUGAAUGGUUUUGCCUAGAUUUUCUUCUAGGGUUUUUAUGGUGCCAGGUCUUAUGUUUAAGUCUUUAAUUUAUCUGGAGUUAAUUUUAGUGUAAGGUGUCAGGAAGGGGUCCAGUUUCUGCUUUCUGCACAUGGCUAGCCAGUUUUCCCAAUACCAUUUAUUAAACAGGGAAUCCUUUCCCCAUUGCUUGUUUUUGUCAGGUUUAUCAAAGACUGUAUGGUAGUAGAUAUGUUGUGUUGCCUCCGAUGCCUCUGUUCUGUUCCAUUGGUCUAUAUCUCUAUUUUGGUACCAGUACCAUGCUGUUUUGAUUACUGUAGCCUUGUAGUAUAGUUUGAAGUCCAGUAGUGUGAUGCCUCCUGCUGUGUUCUUUUUGCGUAGAAUUGACUUGGCUAUGUGGGCUCUCUUUUGGUUCCAUAUGAAGUUUAAGGUAGUUUUUUCCAGUUCUGUGAAGAAGGUACAUUGGUAGCUUGAUGGGGAUAGCAUUGAAUCUGUAAAUUACUUUGGGCAGUAUAGCCAUUUUCAUGAUAUUGAUUCUUCCUAACCGUGAACAUGGAAUGCUUCUCCAUCUGUUUGUGUUCUCUCUUAUUUUGUUGAGCAGUGGUUUGUAAUUCUCCUUGAAGAGGUCCUUUACAUUCCUUGUUAGUUGUAUUCCUAGGUAUUUUAUUCUCUUUGUAGCAAUUGUGAAUGGCAAUUCGUUCUUGAUUUGGCUCUCUUUCAGUCUGUUAUUGGUUUAUAGGAAUGCUUGUGAUUUUUGCACAUUGAUUUUGUAUCCUGAACUGAGAUAAUAACAAACAGUCUCUCAGACCAUAGUGCAAUCAAGUUAGAACUCGGAAUUCAGAAACUAACUCAGAACCGUACAGCUUCAUGGAAACUGAACAACUGGCUCUUGAAUGUUGACUGAAUAAACAAUAAAAUGAAGGCAGAAAUAAAGAAGUUCUUCGAAACCAACGAGAACGAAGACACAACAUACCGGAAUCUCUGGGACACAUUUAAAGCAGUCUCUAGAGGAAAAUGUAUAGCAAUAAGUGCCCACAUGAGAAGAGUGGAGAGAUCCAAAAUUGAUACCCUAUCAUCAAAAUUGAAAGAGCUAGAGGGGCAAGAUCAAAAAAACUCAAAACCUAGCAGAAGACAAGAACUAACUAAGAUCAGAGCAGAACUGAAGGAGAUAGAGACACGAAAAACCCUUCAAAAAAUCAAUAAAUCCAAGAGCUGGUUUUUUGAAAAGAUCAACAAAAUAGACCACUAGCCAGAUUGAUAAAAAGGAAAAGAGAGGACAUGCCUCGGUUUCUGUUAGCAACCAGAGGCUUCUAAACAACCUAUCCUCCCUCCGCAUCUCUGGUCCAAACAGCCUCGGCGAUCCCAACCUUGGCGGGGCACCUCCUGGCCUCUCCGGUUCCUUUAGGCUGCCGGCUGCCGCCGGCCGCCUGCCACCAUGGCAGAGUUGGGCCUAAAUGAGCACCAUCAAAAUGAAGUUGUUAAUUAUAUGCGUUUUGCUCAUUCAAAGAGAGGCUUGAGACUCAAAACUGUAGAUUCCUGCUUCCAAGACCUCAAAGAGAGCAGGUUGGUGGAGGAGACCUUCACCAUAGAUAAAGUCUCUGAAGUCCUCAAUGCAUUGCAAGCUGUGGUUCAUAGCGAGGUGGAAUCUGAGCUCAUCAACACUGCCUAUACUAAUGUGUUACUUCUGCGACAGCUGUUUGCACAAGCUGAGAAGUGGUAUCUUAAGCUUCAGACAGACGUCUCUGAACUUGAAAACCGAGAAUUAUUAGAACAAGUGCAGAAUUUGAAAACGCAGAGAUAACAUCUUCAAACAAAAAUCCCAUUCCCAUUGAUGAUAUCACAAAACCAAAGCUUGCUCCACUUAAUGAAAGUGGAACAGCAGGACUCCUAAACAAGGAAAUUUUAAGAAUUCAAGAAGAGAAUGAGAAAUUGAAGUCAAGGUUGAAGACCAUUGAAAUACAGGCUACAAAUGCACUGGAUAAAAGUCCAAACUAGAAAAAGCACUGCAAGACUUACAACUUGAUCAAGGAAAUCAAAAGGAUUUUAUAAAGGCCCAAGACUUGCAUAACUUAGAAAACACAGUCGCUGCUUUAAAGAGUGAGUUUCAGAAGACACUUGAUAAUACAGAAAACCAGAAGUCACUGGGGGAGAAUCUGGCAACAGCUAAGCACGACUUAGGGUUCAGGAGCAGCUGCGCAUGGCUGAAAAGGAAUUAGAAAAGAAGUUUCAGCAAACAGCAGCUUAUCGAAACAUGAAAGAGAUUCUUACCAAGAAGAAUGAGCAAAUCAAAGAUCUGAGGAAAAGCCUGGCACAAUAUGAACCUGAUGAUUAAAACUGAAGACUGCAUCUGGAAGCUGACACAUACAAACAUACACGCAGUCUCACGCAGGCAUGUCUCACUCAGGCAUGUAUUCUGAAGAAUUUGGUCACAUCCCCUUUUUAUUUUUCCAAUAUUUAGACUUUGCUUCUAAUAUUUAAAACUAGAUUUCAUAUUUUCAGCUAAUUGAAAACAGGGAAAACCUAGUGAUUUUGGCUGGUCAUCCCACACACCUCUCUAAUGAGUGCCCCACAGUCUUAGCUCGCACACACUGAGAAUUCUUUAAAGAGAUUUUUAGAGUGCGAAGAAGAGUCUUAUCUUUCUGCAUUAGUAUAAAGAGUCUAUCUUUUUAAUAAAUGUUAAAGAAGCUAACAAUGUCUGUACUUACGCAUUCCUCAUGAGUAAAAAUAAAUAGGAUUAUUAAAGAUAGUUAUCAACAGAGAUAGUUAUUACAAAUAAAUAUGUCUCUUUAUUUUUUAAAAUGAAAUCUUAAUUCAUUUACUCUAUUUGAUGAUGAAAAAACUAUGAAUUCCUUGAAAAUGUGAAUUCUAUUCCACCUAUUAUGGGUAGCCCUCUUACCAAUUAUAAGGAAAAUUAACUGCAGUGAACAUGAACAUUCAUUUAAGCUCCCCAGUCUCUCCAUUUUAAAGACCAUUUAUCAGAGGUGGCUCAAUGUUUUUGGCAGCAUGACUUUUCAUGAGUCUGUGUUGCUAAUGUAUAAGUCAAAUCCAUCCUGCACUUCUACAGUUUAGAAAGUAUCUGGACUCAGAAUAAAUGUAAUAUUUAUACUUGUUGCCAGAAUAUUCUUUUACAUUUUAUGUUAAAUAAGAACACUUUUUAAAAGACUUAUACUCAACAUAAAAUCAGCUAUCAGACUUCAGAUUGGACUUUAUUUAUGUAGUAAUUAUAUUUUCAAGAGGUUUUCACUAUAUUUUUAUUGGCCUUGUUUUUUUUAGAAGAUUUUGAACAAAUUAUUAGGAAUUGGGUGUCAUGUCCACACUUGUGUAAGGCAGCAGUAUACUAUAGGGAUAAACAAAGUGAAGUCUAUAAAGCAGUAUCCAUCAGAAUGAACGUCCUUACUCUUCACAUAUUAAUAGUGAUUAUUCCUGCUUCUAAGAGUAUCACACCUAAAUGAACACUGUCUACUAAGAGACAUCCAGUUCCACAAAUGAAAACAUUCCACUUCCAUAAAUGAAGAUUUGAUUCCAAGAGACAAGUUUACUGAUUGGAGUAUAGGCUUGUUAUUAUUUUUAGUCAAGCUUUUAAUAAUAGCCUUGAAUUUAUUAUUUUUCUUAUAAGCUUUUUGUUAAAAUAGUAAAGGAACAAAUGACAAAGGGUAAGAUAAUUUCCCUGCAAAAGGACACAGAAGGCAGAGUAAGAUGAAUGGAUCAGAGAAGGGAGAGAUCAAAUGCAGUAACAAGCCAGCACUUGCUAUAUGUUUCUUCCUCACCUCUCACCAUAUUUAUGUCACUUAUCAGUUUCUGUGUCCUUUUGGAGCUUUUGUUGAGGGCUUCAGCCUCACCCUGUAUUUCUUUAGCCCUAAACUGACACUCUCUCUGAAAAUCCAUUCCAUUAUCUGUGGCCCAAGAUAUUCUAUAUAAUUCAGAAGCAGAACUUUUGGCUAAAGGGUUAGUGUGUCUUUCAGAAACCAUUCAAUUAUUUUCUCCCUAUACCUUUCUCAGUUUGAUACCAGUGGGGAAAGAAGGUACGUUGAUAAGAAACCUAUAUUGCAGGGUAGAAUUUGUACUUGUUUUCUUGGUAGCAAUUUUGCAAUAUUCUGUAGAGUAUGUUCCUAUUGUUUAAUAAAACAUUUCUAUAAAAAUAAAACAUUUGUGUAAAACCUUAAAACCUAACUAUGCCAAGCAUUAAGAUAAACAGAUAUGAUGUCCUUUGACAUAAAUCAACAUGAUGAUUCUUUCACAUGUAAACACAUUUUAGUGUUUCUGGUUUGUCUUUUGUGUGCGUUGUUGCUUUUAUUUACACUAUACCCUUAGCAAAAUACAGUGUUCAAUUUUCAUUGUUUUUAGUAGUUUCCCAACUUUAAGAUUUAUCUUGUUUAACUGAGCAAGAAAGCCUUUUUUGUAUAUAUAUUUUGGAUUUCUAAGAAUGUUGGUUUGAGCCUUGAUUAGACUUUUAAUGUGCUAAGUCAGAUAGGCAGUCUGUGCACUGGUGAUCAUCGCAAUGCAGCUUUGGUUUAAUUUAAUUCAGGGCUGCUGCUGAAUUAUGUGCAGACUUUUUGUUGACCAAAAUAAAAUGUUAAGGGUUUUUGUUAUUAAUUUCUUCUGUUUGACAUUUAAGUGUUCAUUUUUUUCUUUAUGUAUUUUUCCUUUAUGUAUUUUGAACCCAUAUUAAAUAAAUGUUUAUAUGAUUA
This is an RNA transcript of Callithrix jacchus (white-tufted-ear marmoset), 9504 nucleotides long. It is a transcript of the gene named leucine zipper transcription factor-like protein 1, with no coding region annotated. The record is from RefSeq and is a predicted model, not a curated record. Lineage: Eukaryota; Metazoa; Chordata; Mammalia; Primates; Cebidae.